RNAcentral lists this ribosomal RNA (497 nucleotides) under uncultured bacterium. Its description in RNAcentral is "partial 16S ribosomal RNA". It matches the Rfam family "Bacterial small subunit ribosomal RNA", at positions 28 to 507 of the family's 1533-position model. The record is from RNAcentral.
GAUGAACGCUGGCGGCGUGCCUAAUACAUGCAAGUCGAGCGAACGGACGAGAAGCUUGCUUCUCUGAUGUUAGCGGCGGACGGGUGAGUAGCACGUGGAUAACCUACCUAUAAGACUGGGAUAACUUCGGGAAACCGGAGCUAAUACCGGAUGAUAUUUUGAACCGCAUGGUUCAAAAGUGAAAGACGGUCUUGCUGUCACUUAUAGAUGGAUCCGCGCUGCAUUAGCUAGUUGGUAAGGUAACGGCUUACCAGGGCAACGAUGCAUAGCCGACCUGAGAGGGUGAUCGGCCACACUGGAACUGAGACACGGUCCAGACUCCUACGGGAGGCAGCAGUAGGGAAUCUUCCGCAAUGGGCGAAAGCCUGACGGAGCAACGCCGCGUGAGUGAUGAAGGUCUUCGGAUCGUAAAACUCUGUUAUUAGGGAAGAACAUAUGUGUAAGUAACUGUGCACAUCUUGACGGUACCUAAUCAGAAAGCCACGGCUAACUACGUG